Molecule: long non-coding RNA, 422 nt
Organism: Sciurus carolinensis (gray squirrel)
Lineage: Eukaryota; Metazoa; Chordata; Mammalia; Rodentia; Sciuridae
Exons: 3
Source: RefSeq, a predicted model, not a curated record
UCUUAUUGCAAUGAAGGGAAUAAAAGAAGUCAGAUAUUUGUUACGGAUGGUUUCUGAAGACAAGCUAGUCCUUCCCCUCUCAUUCUUCAGAUGAGGAGGAGGCAAACAAUCGUCCAACUUCACAAGAGCUGGCAGGAAAACUAGGAUGAGCUUGAGCUUCUGCCAUGGAAUGAGGCCAGUGCCAAGCUCCUGGACUUCCCGAUCUCCAAACUUCUGAUCCCUUGUUUUCAUCCUGCUCAGAGGAAGUGAAGUAACAUCUAAUGAGAAAAUGGGGGAGGAAUAAACCCGGAUUCUUGGCUGAGCUCCUCCUGCUGUGUCUUCCCGGGGGCGAGUCAGCCCAUGAAGAGCACAGGUGCACUCCAUGACCCCGGCAGCCCUGCAGUGACUGCAAGGACCUGAUUCUGGGCUUUGACAUAUGGAAG